GAAGAGAGACGUUUUUUAUAAAAAAAUUUUAGGAUACCAAAGACAUAACAUAAAUUGAAAAAUAAAGCGGAAGAUAUCCAAGAUAGAGGGAGAUAUGUAAGAUAGAGGGAAGUAUACAAGAUAGGAGGAGAAAUUAAUAGUCAAGCAAAAACUUCUCAAUAAUAUGUUUUGUCAUCAUCAAAAAGAGGGAGAUUGUGAAGAAGAUGUUCAUUGUCCUUUUUAGCUUGGUUUUGAUGAAUACAAAAGGCUAGAAAAGAAGAAAAAGAUUGGAAUAAAAUAUCAAGUUUG
This 288-nucleotide long non-coding RNA is filed under the name Lathyrus oleraceus (garden pea). Its description in RNAcentral is "Pisum sativum (pea) long non-coding RNA (PSAT_LNC030781)". The record is from RNAcentral. Lineage: Eukaryota; Viridiplantae; Streptophyta; Magnoliopsida; Fabales; Fabaceae.